UGUCGCUGUCAGGAUGAAAAAUUAGGAAAUCAUUGUGGACUUUCCAAUGGUUUUCAUUGCUAUUGGUCUUAGGCAGAAAAAGUCGUUGUUUGUGACUUCCUGUGAAUUCAAACAAUUCGACAGAUAAAUGGGGAAAAAGCAAGUAAUGGUGCCGGUUAAUGAAGUAGACCUCACCGUAGUGAAAUAUGUGCCGGAAAAAUUUGAAGCUCCACAUUUGACUGGUUUUUGGUUCAAGUUGUUUGUUAAAGUAAUGGAGGCACCCUUAAUUACCAGUCACCUGAAGCAGAAGAAUGGAAUGACUGAGAUUCUCAAGAAAACCGUGAUCCCGGAGGUGCCCAUGUUCAUUCCCUAGUUCCCUCUUCAAGCUGGAAAGAAGCAUAACACUGUGGGCAUUCCAUGAUUUUGUUGAAGUUGGAAUUCAGGAAUUAUUAAGGUGCUUUUCUAAUGUUACUGACUUAUUUAGUAUAUAUAUGAGUUUAGAUCCAGAGCCUGGUGUUGUUUGCUUAGAAGAAAAAACGGGUUGAAAUGUCUUUCACAUUAUGAUCAAUGAUGUAGCAGUUGGAAUUCUGGUUCAGGAGAAUUCGUGACUUUCCAUUGAUUGUUCCUAUUUUGGUCAUCUUCAAGAAUAAUAAAAAGCUCUAUUGUGCUAAAGGUUGCAGAGCACUUUAUCUCAGCAAUAGAGAUACUUAAUGAUAAGCAGCCCUCAGGAGGUGGAGGUGACAAGGCAAGCUGCAGCUUCCACUCAGUUUGUUAUUAAUUUCUUGAUGCGCAUAAAUUGGCUGUUCUGAGAAUCUACGCACAUGCCAUCAAAUAAAAUAUGAAAAUUUAUAUUAAUUUCCUGCAAAUAAAGCAUAUCUUGAAUUGCUGUGCCAAGUCUGUAGAUCUCGUUACUCUCAAGUGUUUUUCUUUUCAUCUGUUUUUGUUUUAUUCCGAUGUGAUCAUGGAGGAAUACCGUUGUCGAUCUUGGAUGGGAUUUUAAUUGCAGUCAAGGAUGACAUUGAUUGCUAUUCUCAUCCUUCAAAGGGUGGUUCUACAUGGUUUAUGAGGUUCGCCAGGUAAAGGCAGAUGCAGUGGCGUUGGAGAUAGCAUUCUAUGUCAUGAGUUACCAAG
Molecule: non-coding RNA, 1110 nt
Organism: Nicotiana tabacum (common tobacco)
Lineage: Eukaryota; Viridiplantae; Streptophyta; Magnoliopsida; Solanales; Solanaceae
Source: RefSeq, a predicted model, not a curated record